RNAcentral lists this ribosomal RNA (253 nucleotides) under uncultured bacterium. RNAcentral's name for it is "partial 16S ribosomal RNA". It matches the Rfam family "Bacterial small subunit ribosomal RNA", at positions 524 to 776 of the family's 1533-position model. The record is from RNAcentral.
UACAGAGGUCCCAAGCGUUGUUCGGAUUCACUGGGCGUAAAGGGUGCGUAGGCGGCUUUGCAAGUCUGAUGUGAAAUCUCCGGGCCCAACCCGGAAACGGCAUUAGAAACUGCGGGGCUAGAGGCUUGGAGGGGGAACUGGAAUGCUCGGUGUAGCAGUGAAAUGCGUAGAGAUCGAGCGGAACACCAGUGGCGAAGGCGAGUUCCUGGACAAGACCUGACGCUGAGGCACGAAAGCCAGGGGAGCAAACAGG